AUGCUCGCUUUUGCAGCACAUAUACUAAAAUUGGAACGAUAGAGAGGAGAUAAGCAUGGCCCCUGCGCAAUGAUAAAACGCAAAUUCAUGACGUGUUCCAUUUUAAA
This is a small nuclear RNA of Bombina bombina (fire-bellied toad), 107 nucleotides long. The record is from RefSeq and is a predicted model, not a curated record. Lineage: Eukaryota; Metazoa; Chordata; Amphibia; Anura; Bombinatoridae.